Molecule: long non-coding RNA, 1594 nt
Organism: Girardinichthys multiradiatus
Lineage: Eukaryota; Metazoa; Chordata; Actinopteri; Cyprinodontiformes; Goodeidae
Exons: 3
Source: RefSeq, a predicted model, not a curated record
UGUUGUGUUACAUGUAGCAUCCUUCCUGUCAGCUCAUUUUUGGCCUUAUACCUGAUACCUUCUUUUUCCAGUCUUAUGUUUCGGAGCUAAUUAGGAUCUUACAACAGCUACAUCUUGUACUGUCUGGACUAAGCUGAUGAUGCGGAAAUGUAAUAAUUAGCAGAACUAUGCGCCAAGAUUGUCCAUGUUUGGCACUUCCCCUUCUCUGCACUGCCAACGUUCAACCUGCUCCUCAGCCCCAUCCCACUGAUAUUCACCCUGGCAAUGCUCAUCCUGGCUAGUCUGUAAGGGUACUGCCUUCUGUUCUUUCUGGUUUUGGUUAAGGAACCUCUGGAACCCCACGGACCGUGAACGUUUCUGGACACUUUAUCUGGCUGACAGUCCGAACUGAUCUAUGCAACGCUCUAGUCGUGAACCCUGUCCACCCUCCAACGGAGUUCCAUCUCCAAUCUCCUCUAAAGCUUCUGCGAGCACCAACCACCUGGUCAUCUCUCAGACCUGACACGCCUUCUCCCAGGCAGAUACCCGGCUCCUGAUCAAUAAGCAUUCCUCCAUCUAGUAACAUUCUAUCUGAGUGUCUCGUUACUUACCCUCGUUCUUCCUCAGCAGCCCAGCUCCUGAUUACGAGGGUCCUCGGACCUCGCUCCUGUAUUGAAUAAACUAACGAAACUGUUCUCUGUCUCUGAGUGUCCUCUGUAUGUGGGUCAAGUCGGCGGUUAAAAUUAUGACAGUUUCAUAAUUGCCAGGUCAGAUGAAACUAGUCAAACAGUACAGGAGCAUAAAGGAAGCAGCAUGCACAGGUUGUUUUGCUGAAGCUUAUUGCUUCAGAGCAUCAAAGUAUUCACACCCCUACAGCUUUUUUUUAACAACUUUUUAGCUGUAGGGGUGUGAAUACUUUGAUGUAUUCUGAGGGGGGGGGGACUUUACAUUGCAGACCUACACAAAGUGUAGUAUAACUGUAAAACUGGAAGUAACGGAUACACAGUUUAUCUUUUUUUUUUUUUUCAAAAACAAAAGUAAGGCAUGCAUUUGUAGCUUAGCUCAGCUCAGUUAAGGCAACACUUUUUACUUUUCCAAACCACAUUUCACUGAAAUUACAACUGCAAGUCUUUUAGGGUAAGCCUCUACAAGCAUUGCACAUCUACAGACUGAAAUUUUUGCCAAUUCUGACAAAUAGCUGUAGGUCAGUCAGACUAGAUAUAAAGAAUAACAUACAUUUCCAAUUCUUGCCAAAAUUGUUCAUUAGAUUAAGGACGUUGUCCUGCUGGAAGGUGGAGCUCUGCUACAGUAUCAAGUAUUUUGCAUUUUUUUAGAGGUUUGCCUGUAACCAGUUGUCUUCCAGAAUUGUCCUUAGGUCCAGCACCAUCCAUCUUCCCACCAACUCUGACUAGCUGUCCUGUGUCUGUUGAAAUAAAUAUCCCAAAAGCAUGAUGCUGCCACCACCAUGUUUCAUGGUGAGGAUGGUGUGUUCAGGGUAAUCCACCACGCAUUGCAUUUUGCACAUAGAUCAAAAAUAUAACAUUUAGUCUUCUCUGACUAGAGCACCUUCUUCCAUAUGUAAAUUACCUGUACUUGUAUAGCGCUUUAGGCUGCA